UAAUAUGGAAUCGAGGAUCAUCUCAUUA
This 28-nucleotide small RNA is filed under the name Bombyx mori (domestic silkworm). Its description in RNAcentral is "ovarian small RNA-19618". The record is from RNAcentral. Lineage: Eukaryota; Metazoa; Arthropoda; Insecta; Lepidoptera; Bombycidae.